RNAcentral lists this ribosomal RNA (344 nucleotides) under uncultured bacterium. Its description in RNAcentral is "bacterial SSU rRNA". It matches the Rfam family "Bacterial small subunit ribosomal RNA", at positions 29 to 363 of the family's 1533-position model. The record is from RNAcentral.
AACGAACGCUGGCGGCGGGGUUUAGGCAUGCAAGUCGAGCGAGAAAGGGGCAACCCGAGUAAAGCGGCGUAAGGGUGAGUAAUAGAUAGUUUACGUAUCCUGCUGACGCGGAUAAUUUCCCGAAAGGGAUUGUAAUACGCGAUGAGACCACAUCCGAUCCGUCGGGAGAGGUCAAAAGUUCGGGAUCCUUCGGACCGAGCGCAGUGGGAGCGGACGAUCUCCGAUUAGCUAGUUGGCGGGUAACGCCGCCAAGCGAUGAUCGGUAGCCGGCCUGAGAGGGUGUCCGGCCACACGUGGGACUGAGACACUGCCCAGACUCCUACGGGAGGCUGCAGUCGCGAAUC